GUCUGGGAUACCAUUUGGAAACAGGUGCUAAUACCUGGAUAAGAAAGCAGAUCGCAUGAUCAGCUUUUAAAAGGCGGCGUAAGCUGUCGCUAAGGGAUGGCCCCGCGGUGCAUUAGCUAGUUGGUAAGGUAACGGCUUACCAAGGCAACGAUGCAUAGCCGAGUUGAGAGACUGAUCGGCCACAUUGGGACUGAGACACGGCCCAAACUCCUACGGGAGGCAGCAGUAGGGAAUCUUCCACAAUGGACGCAAGUCUGAUGGAGCAACGCCGCGUGAGUGAAGAAGGUUUUCGGAUCGUAAAGCUCUGUUGUUGGUGAAGAAGGAUAGAGGUAGUAACUGGCCUUUAUUUGACGGUAAUCAACCAGAAAGUCACGGCUAACUACGUGCCAGCAGCCGCGGUAAUACGUAGGUGGCAAGCGUUGUCCGGAUUUAUUGGGCGUAAAGCGAGCGCAGGCGGAAAAAUAAGUCUGAUGUGAAAGCCCUCGGCUUAACCGAGGAACUGCAUCGGAAACUGUUUUUCUUGAGUGCAGAAGAGGAGAGUGGAACUCCAUGUGUAGCGGUGGAAUGCGUAGAUAUAUGGAAGAACACCAGUGGCGAAGGCGGCUCUCUGGUCUGCAACUGACGCUGAGGCUCGAAAGCAUGGGUAGCGAACAGGAUUAGAUACCCUGGUAGUCCAUGCCGUAAACGAUGAGUGCUAAGUGUUGGGAGGUUUCCGCCUCUCAGUGCUGCAGCUAACGCAUUAAGCACUCCGCCUGGGGAGUACGACCGCAAGGUUGAAACUCAAAGGAAUUGACGGGGGCCCGCACAAGCGGUGGAGCAUGUGGUUUAAUUCGAAGCAACGCGAAGAACCUUACCAGGUCUUGACAUCUAGUGCAAUCUGUAGAGAUACGGAGUUCCCUUCGGGGACGCUAAGACAGGUGGUGCAUGGCUGUCGUCAGCUCGUGUCGUGAGAUGUUGGGUUAAGUCCCGCAACGAGCGCAACCCUUGUUAUUAGUUGCCAGCAUUAAGUUGGGCACUCUAAUGAGACUGCCGGUGACAAACCGGAGGAAGGUGGGGAUGACGUCAAGUCAUCAUGCCCCUUAUGACCUGGGCUACACACGUGCUACAAUGGGCAGUACAACGAGAAUGCAAAGCCUGCGAAGGCAAGCGAAUCUCUUAAAGCUGUUCUCA
This 1170-nucleotide ribosomal RNA is filed under the name Lactobacillus kitasatonis. Its description in RNAcentral is "bacterial SSU rRNA". It matches the Rfam family "Bacterial small subunit ribosomal RNA", at positions 136 to 1290 of the family's 1533-position model. Lineage: Bacteria; Bacillati; Bacillota; Bacilli; Lactobacillales; Lactobacillaceae. The record is from RNAcentral.